Molecule: ribosomal RNA, 254 nt
Filed under: uncultured bacterium
Lineage: Bacteria
Description: partial 16S ribosomal RNA
Rfam family: Bacterial small subunit ribosomal RNA
Source: RNAcentral
UACGAAGGGGGGCUAGCGUUGCUCGGAAUCACUGGGCGUAAAGGGUGCGUAGGCGGGUCUUUAAGUCAGGGGUGAAAUCCUGGAGCUCAACUCCAGAACUGCCUUUGAUACUGAGGAUCUUGAGUUCGGGGAGAGGUGAGUGGAACUGCGAGUGUAGAGGUGAAAUUCGUAGAUAUUCGCAAGAACACCAGUGGCGAAGGCGGCUCACUGGCCCGGUACUGACGCUGAGGCACGAAAGCGUGGGGAGCAACAGG